CGCCUACGGGGGGCAGCAGUGAGGAAUAUUGGUCAAUGGCCGAAGGGCUGAACCAGCCAAGCCGCGUGAAGGAAUAAGGCCCUACGGGUCGUAAACUUCUUUAGUCAGGGAACAAAGGGUGCCACGCGUGGCGCUGUGAGUGUACCUGAAGAAUAAGCAUCGGCUAACUCCGUGCCAGCAGCCGCGGUAAUACGGAGGAUGCGAGCGUUAUCCGGAUUUAUUGGGUUUAAAGGGUGCGUAGGCGGUUUGUCAAGUCAGCGGUAAAAAUUCCGGGCUCAACCCGGUCCGGCCGUUGAAACUGGCGG
This 305-nucleotide ribosomal RNA is filed under the name uncultured bacterium. Its description in RNAcentral is "bacterial SSU rRNA". It matches the Rfam family "Bacterial small subunit ribosomal RNA", at positions 336 to 639 of the family's 1533-position model. The record is from RNAcentral.